This 292-nucleotide ribosomal RNA is filed under the name uncultured bacterium. Its description in RNAcentral is "partial 16S ribosomal RNA". It matches the Rfam family "Bacterial small subunit ribosomal RNA", at positions 505 to 796 of the family's 1533-position model. The record is from RNAcentral.
GUGCCAGCAGCCGCGGUAAUACAGAGGGUGCGAGCGUUGUCCGGAAUUACUGGGCGUAAAGGGCGCGUAGGCGGUUCAAUAAGUAGGAGGUGAAAUCUCACGGCUCAACCGGGAGGCUGCCUUCUAGACUGUUGGACUUGAGCACGGUAGAGGCAGAUGGAAUUCCCGGUGUAGCGGUGGAAUGCGUAGAGAUCGGGAAGAACACCAGUGGCGAAGGCGGUCUGCUGGGCCGUUGCUGACGCUGAGGCGCGACAGCGUGGGGAGCAAACAGGAUUAGAUACCCGCGUAGUCC